RNAcentral lists this ribosomal RNA (460 nucleotides) under uncultured bacterium. RNAcentral's name for it is "partial 16S ribosomal RNA". It matches the Rfam family "Bacterial small subunit ribosomal RNA", at positions 338 to 795 of the family's 1533-position model. The record is from RNAcentral.
CCUACGGGAGGCAGCAGUGAGGAAUAUUGGUCAAUGGGCGAGAGCCUGAACCAGCCAAGUCGCGUGAAGGAUGACGGCCCUACGGGUUGUAAACUUCUUUUGUCAGGGAGCAAUUGAGUCCACGUGUGGGCUUAGCGAGAGUACCUGAAGAAAAAGCAUCGGCUAAUUCCGUGCCAGCAGCCGCGGUAAUACGGAGGAUGCGAGCGUUAUCCGGAUUUAUGGGGUUUAAAGGGUGCGUAGGCGGAAUAUCAGGUCAGCGUGAAAAAUUCGGGGCUCAACCCCGUCGUGCCGUUGAAACUGAUGAUCUUGAGUGGGCGAGAAGUAGGCGGAAUGCGUGGUGUAGCGGUGAAAUGCAUAGAUAUCACGCAGAACUCCGAUUGCGAAGGCAGCAUACCGGCGCCCAACUGACGUUGAGGCACGAAAGCGUGGGUAUCGAACAGGAUUAGAUACCCUUGUAGUC